UGGCCAGCCUUCUGAAAGGAAGAUUAAUCCAGGAUGGGAUCAUGAGUUCACAUGUCCGCAUGAUUAAAGGUAUUUUCCGGUAGACGAUGGGGAUGCGUUCCAUUAGAUAGUAGGCGGGGUAACGGCCCACCUAGUCAACGAUGGAUAGGGGUUCUGAGAGGAAGGUCCCCCACAUUGGAACUGAGACACGGUCCAAACUCCUACGGGAGGCAGCAGUGAGGAAUAUUGGUCAAUGGGCGAUGGCCUGAACCAGCCAAGUAGCGUGAAGGAUGACUGCCCUAUGGGUUGUAAACUUCUUUUAUAAAGGAAUAAAGUCGGGUAUGCAUACCCGUUUGCAUGUACUUUAUGAAUAAGGAUCGGCUAACUCCGUGCCAGCAGCCGCGGUAAUACGGAGGAUCCGAGCGUUAUCCGGAUUUAUUGGGUUUAAAGGGAGCGUAGAUGGAUGUUUAAGUCAGUUGUGAAAGUUUGCGGCUCAACCGUAAAAUUGCAGUUGAUACUGGAUGUCUUGAGUGCAGUUGAGGCAGGCGGAAUUCGUGGUGUAGCGGUGAAAUGCUUAGAUAUCACGAAGAACUCCGAUUGCGAAGGCAGCCUGCUAAGCUGCAACUGACAUUGAGGCUCGAAAGUGUGGGUAUCAAACAGGAUUAGAUACCCUGGUAGUCCACACGGUAAACGAUGAAUGCUCGCUGUUUGCGAUAUACGGCAAGCGGCCAAG
RNAcentral lists this ribosomal RNA (712 nucleotides) under uncultured bacterium. RNAcentral's name for it is "bacterial SSU rRNA". It matches the Rfam family "Bacterial small subunit ribosomal RNA", at positions 140 to 851 of the family's 1533-position model. The record is from RNAcentral.